UUGGGGAUUGGGUUUUAACACAGAUUUUGGGGGGUAUACCACAGUCUAUAGCAACAACUAUGAGGUCAUCUGUUCUCAUCAUAUGACUCUUUCAUCAAGAGUUGCCAGCUUUAACGUUUGUCGAGAACCAGAAAGCUUAAAGCCACGCAGCAAAUGCCUCUUCUCACUUUGCCCAACUUUCAUCCUGAAAUGCAGCUGAAGACUGGGAGAGGUGGUGAUCAAAUACCAUGAAGUAACAGAAAUGACGCGUGAACUAUGUAUAAAGAAGAGCGAUGUCCUGAAGUCUAGAUUCAGUGCGUAUUGUCCAGGAGGAAGCAGACCAAGAUUUUUAGCCCAAGAUCUGCUGCGGGGCACUGAGGAGCUAUAGAAUUUCAGGCAGAAGAUACAGACUUUUAGAAAAAAAUUAUUCAAACAAUGAACAGGAGGAGACAAUACAGUGGGGUGAUUCAGCAGCAAGUCAAACUGAAGCCUGACCUGAACCCAAGAAGUGACAGAAGUGGCACUGACUGGAAUUUGGUAAAGGCAUCUCUGUAGACACCAAAAUAAACAGAAAUGGGUUAUUUAUAGAGUUAGAUAUAUUGCACACCUAUAUCUGCAUAUGUGUACAUAGAUAUACAAAUAAAUAUAGUGAUAAGUAUUAGCAACAUGGUGGUUGAAAGGAUGGCCCAUGUUUAGGUCUUGGCUAAACUGAAGGAAUAGGGCAUGAAAAAUCAAUUAAGGGCACAUCAGAGGAGAAACCAUUAGGGAUGGAAUGGGGGAAGCAUAUAGCAAGUUCAUUUCUGAACAUGUUAAAUUAAAUAGCUCUGUCCAACUACUAAGAACACAAACUAGAAUUCUGGAGCAAAGCAAGCAAGCAAUUGUACUGAAUCUCUAGUGGGAGAAAGAAGAGAGCUGUCUGUAAACAGUGGGUGGCAGAGUUUUAAGGGAACUCAC
This 933-nucleotide long non-coding RNA is filed under the name Fukomys damarensis (Damara mole-rat). RNAcentral describes it as "lncRNA (ENSFDAG00000027185.1)". Lineage: Eukaryota; Metazoa; Chordata; Mammalia; Rodentia; Bathyergidae. The record is from RNAcentral.